RNAcentral lists this transfer RNA (71 nucleotides) under Leptographium terebrantis. RNAcentral's name for it is "tRNA-Trp". It matches the Rfam family "tRNA". Rfam says of the family: Transfer RNA (tRNA) molecules are approximately 80 nucleotides in length. Their secondary structure includes four short double-helical elements and three loops (D, anti-codon, and T loops). RNAcentral also lists the same sequence under 4 other names. Lineage: Eukaryota; Fungi; Ascomycota; Sordariomycetes; Ophiostomatales; Ophiostomataceae. The record is from RNAcentral.
AAGAGUAUAAUUUAAUGGUAAAAUGUUGAGCUUCAACCUCAAUCUUCUCUGUUCGAGUCGGGGUACUCUUG